Molecule: ribosomal RNA, 497 nt
Filed under: uncultured bacterium
Lineage: Bacteria
Description: partial 16S ribosomal RNA
Rfam family: Bacterial small subunit ribosomal RNA
Source: RNAcentral
GAUGAACGCUGGCGGCGUGCCUAAUACAUGCAAGUCGAGCGAACAGAUAAGGAGCUUGCUCCUUUGACGUUAGCGGCGGACGGGUGAGUAACACGUGGGUAACCUACCUAUAAGACUGGAAUAACUCCGGGAAACCGGGGCUAAUGCCGGAUAACAUGUUGAACCGCAUGGUUCUACAGUGAAAGGCGGCUUUGCUGUCACUUAUAGAUGGACCCGCGCCGUAUUAGCUAGUUGGGGAGGUAACGGCUCACCAAGGCAACGAUACGUAGCCGACCUGAGAGGGUGAUCGGCCACACUGGAACUGAGACACGGUCCAGACUCCUACGGGAGGCAGCAGUAGGGAAUCUUCCGCAAUGGGCGAAAGCCUGACGGAGCAACGCCGCGUGAGUGAUGAAGGUCUUCGGAUCGUAAAACUCUGUUAUUAGGGAAGAACAAAUGCGUAAGUAACUGUGCGCGUCUUGACGGUACCUAAUCAGAAAGCCACGGCUAACUACGUG